GCCAGACUCCUACGGGAGGCAGCAGUGAGGAAUAUUGGUCAAUGGGCGCGAGCCUGAACCAGCCAAGUCGCGUGAGGGAUGACGGCCCUACGGGUUGUAAACCUCUUUUGUCGGGGAGCAAAUUCCGUUACGUGUAACGGAGUCGAGAGUACCCGAAGAAAAAGCAUCGGCUAACUCCGUGCCAGCAGCCGCGGUAAUACGGAGGAUGCGAGCGUUAUCCGGAUUUAUUGGGUUUAAAGGGUGCGUAGGCGGAAUGCCAAGUCAGCGGUAAAAUCGCGGGGCUCAACCUCGCUCCGCCGUUGAAACUGGCGUUCUUGAGUGGGCGAGAAGUAUGCGGAAUGCGCAGUGUAGCGGUGAAAUGCUUAGAUAUUGCGCAGAACUCCGAUUGCGAAGGCAGCAUACCGGCGGCGAUCUGACGCUGAGGCACGAAAGCGUGGGUAUCGAACAGGAUUAGAUACCCCCGUAGC
Molecule: ribosomal RNA, 467 nt
Filed under: uncultured bacterium
Lineage: Bacteria
Description: bacterial SSU rRNA
Rfam family: Bacterial small subunit ribosomal RNA
Source: RNAcentral